This is a non-coding RNA of Vicia faba (fava bean), 324 nucleotides long. NCBI's taxonomy places the organism in Eukaryota, Viridiplantae, Streptophyta, Magnoliopsida, Fabales, Fabaceae. The record is from the annotation of a GenBank genome assembly.
AUGUCUUUUAAUGAUGAAGAUUGGAAGGGUUUAACAUCAAAUCUUGAGCCUGGUGACAAUAUGGAGAUAUUUGUAGCUUUUGAGCGUGGAGUGGUUGUUAGGGUAACAGCUGCAUAUCUAAUAUAUGGUCAUUCAGUUACUACCGAAACUGAGACAUCAAUUAUCGUAAAAAAGGAGCCAUCACGAGAAGAAAACUCGCAACCAUCUCCCAAUGUAAAAAUGGAGCUGUCACCAAAUAUGAAAAUGGAACCAUCUCGGAAGCCAAAUAAAGAUACCUUUACAAGACUUGCAAAGAAAACGAGACAAUGUUUGUGCUUGAAGUGA